GAUGAACGCUGGCGGCGUGCCUAAUACAUGCAAGUCGAGCGAACAGACGAGGAGCUUGCUCCUCUGACGUUAGCGGCGGACGGGUGAGUAACACGUGGAUAACCUACCUAUAAGACUGGGAUAACUUCGGGAAACCGGAGCUAAUACCGGAUAACAUGUUGAACCGCAUGGUUCAACAGUGAAAGACGGUCUUGCUGUCACUUAUAGAUGGAUCCGCGCCGCAUUAGCUAGUUGGUAAGGUAACGGCUUACCAAGGCAACGAUGCGUAGCCGACCUGAGAGGGUGAUCGGCCACACUGGAACUGAGACACGGUCCAGACUCCUACGGGAGGCAGCAGUAGGGAAUCUUCCGCAAUGGGCGAAAGCCUGACGGAGCAACGCCGCGUGAGUGAUGAAGGUUUUCGGAUCGUAAAACUCUGUUAUUAGGGAAGAACAAAUGUGUAAGUAACUAUGCACGUCUUGACGGUACCUAAUCAGAAAGCCACGGCUAACUACGUG
Molecule: ribosomal RNA, 497 nt
Filed under: uncultured bacterium
Lineage: Bacteria
Description: partial 16S ribosomal RNA
Rfam family: Bacterial small subunit ribosomal RNA
Source: RNAcentral